GUUCUUGUAAUGUAACAGGUUUUGAUUGUGAGCCCAGGUUAAAGUCCUGGUGGGAAUA
RNAcentral lists this transfer RNA (58 nucleotides) under Hylophorbus sp. TNHC-GDC 31221. Its description in RNAcentral is "tRNA-Glu". The record is from RNAcentral. Lineage: Eukaryota; Metazoa; Chordata; Amphibia; Anura; Microhylidae.